GGAAGGAUCAUUACCAAAUCCAAAUCUCAACCCCAUGUGAACUGUUGUUUGUCUGUCUUUGGGGGUGGCGCUUUUGCUUAGCGAAGAGAAGCGCUUGUCGCUUUUUCCUCCACAGCUUUUUUGCUGCCCCCAAAUGAAUCCGGCACUCCGGUGCUUGGGUUCAACAGCUAAACCACUUCUUAAACUUUGUUGGAAUAACUUUUAUUAAUACUAAUAAAGGACAACUCUUAACAGUGGAUCUCUUGGCUCGUGGAUCGAUGAAGAACGCAGCAAACUGCGAUACGUAGUGUGAAUUGCAGAAUUCAGUGAAUCAUCGAAUCUUUGAACGCAAAUUGCGCUGUCGGGUAUUCCUGACAGCAUACUUGGCUGAGUAUCAUCUGGACAAAUCACACAUCUUUUUGUGUGGACAUGAGGCGUCACAUUGCGCAUGCGAUGGGUCCCUUUAAAUUCAGAUAGGUAAAGGAUAUUGGCGUCCUUGAACCACUAGCGUGGCAAUUGUCCUCUGGGCAUCAAGCGCUAUGUCGGGGCUUGGGCAUUAAAGCCGGUCUUCGGAGCCUUCUUACACAACUCUUUUUUGAAACUUUGAUCUCAGCUCAAGUAAGACUACCCCCUGAAUUUAAGCAUAUUAAUAAGGGGAGGAAAAGAAACUAACAAGGAUUCCCUUAGUAACGGCGAGUGAAGCGGGAAGAGCUCAAAUUUUAAAGCUCCGUGGUUCCCACGGCGCAUUGUAAACUAAAGAGGCGUUUUUUCGCGCAGCCCCGGUACAAGUCCGUUGGAACGCGGCGUCAUGGAAGGUGAGAACCCUGUACAUGACUGGGUGCCUGUGUGUCUACAAUACGUCCUCAACGAGUCGGGUUGUUUGGGAAUGCAGCCCAAAAUGGGUGGUAAAUUUCAUCUAAGGCUAAAUAUUGCCACGAGACCGAUAGCGAACAAGUACCGUGAGGGAAAGAUGAAAAGAACUUUGAAAAGAGAGUUAAAAAGUACGUGAAACUGUUAAGAGGGAAGCGAAUGGCACUAGCAUUUGUACCUUUCAUAAUCAAUUAUUCACACUGAAGCCGUGCAGCGUAGGGAGUGUCAAAGCCUCUUGUUGUACGUUCGGAUGUGUGCAUGAUGCACUUGUGGCUGGUACAGGUCAACAUCAGUUCGGACUGAAACAUAAGCGCGUUGGGAAGGUGGCUUGCAGCUUCGGUUGUAAGUGUUAUAGCCCUUCGUGAACGUUUCGGGCUGGACUGAGGAGUCGCAGGUCGUGCCCUCGGGCUAGUCCCCUGGCCUCUGGUGUAGCAGCUCCGUAACACUUGCGAAAAGCAAGUACUAUAGAGCAACGCGGCGCCACCGGUUAGGUGUGUCAUAAACGACCUUCGGAUGUUGGCGAAAUGGUGUUAUCUGACCCGUCUUGAAACACGGACCAAGGAGUCUAACAUUUAUGCGAGUCUUUGGGUGGCAAACCCGCAGGCGCAAUGAAAGUGAAGGCACGUUCGGCGUGCUGAGGUGAGAUCCGCAAGGUGCAUCAUCGACCGAUCUGGAUGGUUUCCUGAAAGAUUUGAGUAAGAGCAUACAUGUUGGGACCCGAAAGAUGGUGAACUAUGCCUGAAUAGGGUGAAGUCUGAGGAAACUCAGAUGGAAGCUCGUAGCGAUUCUGACGUGCAAAUCGAUCGUCAAAUUUGGGUAUAGGGGCGAAAGACUAAUCGAACCAUCUAGUAGCUGGUUCCCUC
This 1712-nucleotide unclassified non-coding RNA is filed under the name uncultured fungus. RNAcentral describes it as "sequence contains 18S rRNA gene, ITS1, 5.8S rRNA gene, ITS2, 28S rRNA gene". The stretch from base 584 to 1712 matches the Rfam family "Eukaryotic large subunit ribosomal RNA", at positions 1 to 961 of the family's 3401-position model. Lineage: Eukaryota; Fungi. The record is from RNAcentral.